This 468-nucleotide ribosomal RNA is filed under the name uncultured bacterium. RNAcentral's name for it is "partial 16S ribosomal RNA". It matches the Rfam family "Bacterial small subunit ribosomal RNA", at positions 28 to 507 of the family's 1533-position model. The record is from RNAcentral.
GACGAACGCUGGCGGCGUGCUUAACACAUGCAAGUCGAACGGAAAGGCCCUGCUUUUGUGGGGCGCUCGAGUGGCGAACGGGUGAGUAACACGUGAGUAACCUGCCCUUGACUUUGGGAUAACUUCAGGAAACUGGGGCUAAUACCGGAUAGGAGCUCCUGCUGCAUGGUGGGGGUUGGAAAGUUUCGGCGGUUGGGGAUGGACUCGCGGCUUAUCAGCUUGUUGGUGGGGUAGUGGCUUACCAAGGCUUUGACGGGUAGCCGGCCUGAGAGGGUGACCGGCCACAUUGGGACUGAGAUACGGCCCAGACUCCUACGGGAGGCAGCAGUGGGGAAUAUUGCACAAUGGGCGGAAGCCUGAUGCAGCAACGCCGCGUGCGGGAUGACGGCCUUCGGGUUGUAAACCGCUUUCGCCUGUGACGAAGCGUGAGUGACAGUAAUGGGUAAAGAAGCACCGGCUAACUACGUG